AUUUAUUUAAAUUUCAUCUCAUCUUUUGUUUUAGUUUAUUAAUUUUACACGAUAAAUUAUGUAAAAUUACCAGUACAUGCACAAUAUCUGCAUGCAACACAUACAUACAGUGCAUAUGUAUACACCAUUACAUUUAAUGUUAAAAUUCAGUCGCCAAUUAAAAACAAUUAAAAUAGCUAAAAAAAAAAAAAAAGACAGAGAGAUCAUGAGGAAAUCAUCUUUGUGAUCAAAGGUUCAUGAUGGUUAAGAUUCAUGUAACAGCAGAGUUCAUUUUGUACUUUGUUUCUGUGCUUGACUUGAGAUGAAGCAGAGGAAAUACACACAAAAACACGCAAAUGCAGUUAAGACCUUAGGCAUCAACAAAGCUGUCAUGCUAAUUUCUAGCAUGAUCGAUGCGUAAUGGGUUUUAGCACACUACUGCCUCACUGGCCCAGCAGCACAAAUACGUGCUAGCUAUGUGAAUUUUUAAAAAGCAUGUGUUCAUAUUUAAGUACCUCAAACAAUAAAAUUAUGGUUUACCUUUUCUAAAUGAGCACAGACGAUCACAGAUACAGCUUUGAAUGAAAUACAGCUUUGAAUGAAA
Long non-coding RNA from Thunnus maccoyii (southern bluefin tuna), 583 nucleotides. RefSeq lists it as uncharacterized. The record is from RefSeq and is a predicted model, not a curated record. NCBI's taxonomy places the organism in Eukaryota, Metazoa, Chordata, Actinopteri, Scombriformes, Scombridae. The transcript has 2 exons.